RNAcentral lists this ribosomal RNA (441 nucleotides) under uncultured bacterium. RNAcentral describes it as "partial 16S ribosomal RNA". It matches the Rfam family "Bacterial small subunit ribosomal RNA", at positions 338 to 795 of the family's 1533-position model. The record is from RNAcentral.
CCUACGGGAGGCAGCAGUGGGGGAUAUUGCACAAUGGGGGGAACCCUGAUGCAGCGACGCCGCGUGGGUGAAGGAGCGUUUCGGCGCGUAAAGCUCUAUCGGCAGGGAAGAAGGAGGACGGUACCUGCCUAAGAAGCCCCGGCUAAAUACGUGCCAGCAGCCGCGGUAAUACGUAGGGGGCAAGCGUUAUCCGGAUUUACUGGGUGUAAAGGGGGCGCAGACGGCAGCGCAAGCCAGGAGUGAAAGCUCGGGGCCCAACCCCGGGACUGCUUUUGGAACUGGGCGGCUGGAGUGCAGGAGGGGCAGGCGGAAUUCCUGGUGUAGCGGUGAAAUGCGUAGAUAUCAGGAGGAACACCAGUGGCGAAGGCGGCCUGCUGGACUGCGACUGACGUUGAGGCCCGAAAGCGUGGGGAGCAAACAGGAUUAGAUACCCGGGUAGUC